GAUGAACGCUGGCGGCGUGCCUAAUACAUGCAAGUCGAGCGGACGGACGCGAAGCUUGCUUCUCUGAUGUUAGCGGCGGGCGUGUGUGUAACACGUGUAUAACCUACCUAUAUGUCUGGGAUAACUUCGGGAAACCGGAUCUAAUACCGGAGAAUAUUUUGAACCGCAGGGUUCAAAAGUGAAUGACGGUGUUUGUGUCACUUCUAGAUGGUUCCGCGCUGCAUGAGAUAGUUGUUAAGGUAACGGCUUACCAAGGCGACGAGGCAUAGCCGACCUGAGAGGGUGAUAGGCCACACUGGAACUGAGACACGGACCAGACUACUACGGGACGCAGCAGUCGGGAAUCUGACGCAAUGGGCGAAAGCCUGACGGAGCAACGCCGCGUGUGUGAUGAAGGUCUUCGGAUCGUAAAACUCUGUUAUGAGGGAAGAACAUAUGUGUAAGUAAAUGUGCACAUCUUGACGGUACCUAAUCAGAAAGCCACGGCUAACUACGUG
Molecule: ribosomal RNA, 497 nt
Filed under: uncultured bacterium
Lineage: Bacteria
Description: partial 16S ribosomal RNA
Rfam family: Bacterial small subunit ribosomal RNA
Source: RNAcentral